UGGUUGAUCCUGCCAGAGGCGACCGCUAUUGGAGUUCGAUUAAGCCAUGCGAGUAGAAAGAAAUUAGAUUCUUUGCAUACUGCUCAGUAACACGUGGAUAACCUGCCCUGUGCUGGAGGAUAAUCUUGGGAAACUGAACAUAAUACUCCAUAGACCACUACGCCCGGAACGGUGAGUGGUUCAAAGCUCUGGCGGCACAGGAGGGGUCUGCGGCGUAUCACGUUGUAGGGGGUGUAAUGGACCCCCUAGCCAUCGACGCGUACGGGUUGUGGGAGCAAUAACCCGGAGACGGAUUCUGAGACACGAAUCCGGACCCUACGGGGUGCAGCAGGCGCGAAAACUUCACACUGCAGGCAACUGUGAUGAGGGAACUCCAAGUGACUGCACAAUGUGUAGCCUUUUCUUGACUGUUAAUAAUUCUUGGAAUAAGGGCUGGGAAAGACCGGUGCCAGCCGCCGCGGUAAUACC
Molecule: ribosomal RNA, 468 nt
Filed under: uncultured Candidatus Poseidoniales archaeon
Lineage: Archaea; Methanobacteriati; Thermoplasmatota; Candidatus Poseidoniia; Candidatus Poseidoniales
Description: bacterial SSU rRNA
Rfam family: Archaeal small subunit ribosomal RNA
Source: RNAcentral